GUCGAGAAUCUUUCACAAUGGGGGCAACCCUGAUGGAGCGACGCCGCGUGGAGGAUAAGGUCUUCGGAUUGUAAACUCCUGUCAUGCGUGAACAAGGUUGCUUGGAUAAUACCUGAGCAAAUUGAUGGUAGCGCAAGAGGAAGAGACGGCUAACUCUGUGCCAGCAGCCGCGGUAAUACAGAGGUCUCAAGCGUUGUUCGGAAUCACUGGGCGUAAAGGGUGCGUAGGUGGCGUGGCAAGUCAGAUGUGAAAGCCCGGGGCUCAACCUCGGAACUGCAUCCGAGACUGCCAUGCUAGAGUACUGGAGGGGUGACUAGAAUUCUCGGUGUAGCAGUGAAAUGCGUGGAUAUCGAGAGGAAUACCAAAGGCGUAGGCAGGUCACUGGACAGUUACUGACACUGAGGCACGAAGGCCAGGGGAGCGAACGGGAUUAGAAACCCCUGUAGUCC
Molecule: ribosomal RNA, 449 nt
Filed under: uncultured bacterium
Lineage: Bacteria
Description: partial 16S ribosomal RNA
Rfam family: Bacterial small subunit ribosomal RNA
Source: RNAcentral